GCUGGAGGCUAGAUGGAAUUUGGGCUGUUUCAAGGAGGGGCGAAGGGACAGAUCACUGGGACCCCUUCUGGCUUUGGAAUCUACGAGAACCCGGCUUCUAAAGCAAAUUUCAGCUGUGUUUAGUAUGCACCAAACAGGAGCAACAUCCAAAACCCACUCCCUCGAAACCCACCCCCAGCCUCCGACCCCACCCCUCUCCCAACACCAGCCAGCACAAGGACUGAGUAACCUUUAGGCUCAUUUUAAAGACACUAAAGUUUUUAUGCCUUGGGUUUUAAAAAAAAGGCAGCCAAGAGGCAUGGCCAAAGGUAGGGCAACAAUUUAGCCCUGUUCCCGAGACACGAUCAAUGGAGUCUAACCUAGAACAUCUGGUGCUGGGCUCGUUUUGUCCUGGGAUUUGGGCGUUGGUAUUUCCAGGGCUAAAGGGUCAAUUCCCUUUCCCCACCCUUCUGAUGUUUGUACCUAUCAUUCCAAUCCUGGCCACGAACAGCAGCACGCUUCCCAACGGCAGGCCCACGGCAUAGUAGCCAACUGUAUUCAAGAUCGCGCCGAUCUUCUGCUUCCCUGUGCCUCUUAGCACUCCACUGGUUACGCACUGCGAGGGGGGAGGACAAGAUGACUCUGAAGGAUGUGCGCUGGUUGCAGUAAGUCCCCUAGGCUGGGUGCUGGCUGCAGCACUGCCCACGCAUACUGGUUGCUUUACUUCCCCUUACUGACCUCUAUCGAACCCCCGGGGGGACACCCUCCCCACAGCUGAGCUCUCGCUUCAUGGCUGGUUGCAGCCAGGCAGCUGGUAACCCCUGGAAGCUUGUAUAAGAGCCUUGCCCCAGGAGAACCUGCUUUCUUCAAUACAGCCCCUGGCAAAUGACCACUGUUUGUCUCUCUUCUGUACUCAUUGCUCUGUCUCCUGCUCACAGAUGAGCCACACAGUAAUUCCUGUAGGCCCACAGGUAGGGAAUGUUUCCUGCAUUCGUUUCCUUUCCUUUCCCCAUACCUACCCCGUCCCUUCCAUCUGAAUGCACCAUGCAUUGACUAUUAGCCCUGCUAUUAAAGGAUUUUCCUUUUGGCCAGUUUCCCCAUUACAUCGGACGUAUUCGUUCCUCUGAGUCCUUCCCUAGGGCCUGUGAUCUUGGAGGCAGACAUUACCCAGGCUCUUAGCCAUGGGGAUAACUCUGGACUCUCUCCUUGAUCAACCUGGAGCCGAAUUCCACCAGCAUCGGAAAUAAUGUCUGAGAGCAAAUGCAGCAGCACGGUGAAUUCCCUGAGGUACUUACACAGCCGGCUUCGAACACGUGGACGGCCAUGUACACUGGUAUGACCCAAGCCACCAGGGCGAUGAUCUCUCUGUUUAAGGAAUGGAGGAGGCAAUCAGGCUCAGAAGGUGCAUCUGUCACAGCUAAACCAGCUCAUGCCCCGAACACGUCGCUGCAUUCCGUACAACCUGCUGAUCCUCGCAGACUUGCACAAACAUGCCUGGAGAGAGACUUGCUCACAGCACACGCUUUACAGUGCGACCGAGCACAACAGUACUACAGGGCCAUGCCGCAGGCUGGGACUGAACUGAGUUACAGGAAGUCUUGACCCUCAUUUCUGCUGCCGCACUGGGAAAAGUCAGCACCUCAUCAGUCACUCUUCACUCCCGGCUGGCUGGUCUUUAACCAGCGAUUGAGGGUUUCGGGUGUCUUCGGGUGUGAUCAGGAAAAGUCUGUUGGGCCGGGUGGCAUCUGUACCGCCCUGCUAACUAAGCUUUUUGCAGCAGGCUUUCCCCGUGACUGGAUCAGCUGACGUCUUCCGAAACAAAAUUUGCUCUGAUCCAAAUAAAGAGGCACAUACACCAAGGUGCUCUCUCCUUCGAGUGAAGCCCAGCUCAGAUGCAGCAUCGUUUUUCCAGCGAGAUCCCUGCUUUGUACUCAGAUGAUGCAUGAGCUGGAGCGUAGGAGAAGGCAAGUGGGUCCACCCCAUGCGUUAAGGUCCCCUGCAGUCACUGGGAACCUCUCCCCUGACUUCAGUGGGCUUGGGAGCAGGCUCUCCUAAGCCCCCAAACAAUUCUUCCCUUGGCUCAGUCUUUAAUAGUAACUUGUAUCUUUGUUGUGAAAGACUGUAGUACCGAAUCGGAGCAACUCACCUGUCACUGGUAAAUAUGUAUCCCAGCACAUCCUUUGUGGCUGCUAAUAUGACGUCCACCACCAGGCAAAGAAACCCUGAAAAGCAGAGUCAGGAGUCAGUCGGGCAGAGCAACCACAAGCUGACGACUACGUGAAAUCCAGUUCCUGUCAGGGCCUGAGCAACCUGCCUCAGGCCACAAGUGUAAACAAAACUGGGGCUGUCACCCUGGUCCCUAGGUGCCCAUAUCACUAAAUAACUGCAGGCAAUCCGGCUGAGUCCUAGGGCUGGAAACAAUAGGAUACUGCAGGGGAGAACUUAGGUGCAACUGGCAAAGAUCAGUGUAGGAAGCUUGCAAAACCAGCUGCCUUUGCUAUGCCCAGCACUAGGCAGAGCCAUGAGCAUCUCGCUUUGACUGGCACUGUAGCAUACAGACUGACCACCCAGGAGGGAUGGAGCCAAUGCAGAGUCACUAGGCUGACCAGACAGCAAGUGUGAAAAAUUGGGACAGGGUUGUGGGGACCCUAUAUAAGAAAAAGCCCCAAGUAUCGGGACUGUCCCUAUAAAAUUGGGACAUCUGGUCACCCUAAGAGUCACACACCUGUGCACAGAAUGCUGGUGAUGGAAGAUCUCUUGGCCUCCUCUGGGUUCCCAGCACCCAGCGCGUUCCCCACCUGAACGCUGACGGCUACGCUGAGUCCAUAGUGAAUCUGAAAUCCCAAAGCACCGACACACGUUGGUCUGGGGAGGGGACAUCAUGGGCGACCCAGGGGCACAAGUGUUACAAACACCUCCAGCCGAGACAAUUGCUAGGAGGCGGCCCGUGAGCUAAUGAAGGUGAAUGUGGACGGAGCUCUGCAGAGCAUGAGGUAAAACUUUAGGUCGGGCAGAGGGAGGGGCAACAGCCAGGUGUAAUCGGCGCACGGGCAGGUAGCCACGAAAGCGGAGGUUCUCAUCCUGCCUCUGACCCUGAUUCCCAUCUGUGACCUUGGGCAAGUCACUUCACCUCCCAGCCUCAGUUUUCCCAUCUGUAAAUAAGGGAUAACAUUGGCCUACCUGACGGCUGGGGAGUGCAGAUAACGUCUCUCUAAACCCCAGACUGCAGGGUAUUAUGGAUUGACAGGCUGGGAGCAGGAGACAGGGACAGGUCUGGGCACAGGGGGUGACAGUGUGGAAGCUGGGCCCAGGAGACAGAUGUGGGACAUGUUUGGGGCUGAUUAUAGUUAAGGCUAACGCUUCAGUAUGACUGGCUGUCUGGCUUCCUCUGCCAAUUCAGACCAUAAGAGCUUCAGAGCAGGGGCUGUCUUGCAUUGCUGGUCAGCGCCCAGCAUGACAGGGCCCCACUCUCAGGGAGGGCCUUUAGGUGGUGCCGGAACGUAAAUAAUAACCCCAAAUUCUUACCAUGUACGACACAAUGGACACCUCAUAAAUGAUGGAUUGUGCGGAAAGCUCCACUACGCUCAGCAGGCCUGAAUUUGGGGGGAAAAGUCAGAAUUUUGUAUUCUGAUCCCCAGAAAAGGAGCCUUUUAAAGAGCAGGUGAUACGUCAGGCAGAUCGGUGGCUCUCAACCUGUCCAGACUUCUUUCAGGAGGCCAAUUUGUCUUGCAUACCCCAAGUUUAGAAACUCCCUCACUUAAAAACUACUUGCCUAGAAAAUCACACCUAAAAAUACACAAGUGUCAUAGCACACUAGUACUGAAAAAUUGCUUACGUUCUCAUUUUUUACCAUAUAAUUAUAAAAUAAAUCGAUUGGAAUAUAAAAGAUUGUAGUUACAUUUCUGUGUAUAGUCUAUAGAGCAGUGUAAACAAGUCACUGUCUGUAUGAAAUUUCAGUUUGUACUGACUUCGGUAGUGCUUUUUACGUAGCCAGUUGUAAAAGUAGACAAACGUCUAGAUAAUUU
Chelonia mydas (Green sea turtle) is the source of this 4004-nucleotide long non-coding RNA. RefSeq lists it as uncharacterized. The transcript is spliced from 3 exons. Lineage: Eukaryota; Metazoa; Chordata; Testudines; Cheloniidae. The record is from RefSeq and is a predicted model, not a curated record.